CAUUCAGUUCAGCACUGUUAAGUCGCAGGUUUUGUGAGGGAGGGAGAAAAAGGGGAGAGAGAAAGAGAGAGAGAGAGUGCACAAACCAACCUGAGGCAGUAUCACCUUUUAUGACAUAACAUUGGAAAUUACACAUCACCACUUCCUCUGAAUUCUGAUUGGUCAAUUCCGCUACAAAGACCCACAGCUUCAACAGGAGGAAACAUGGACUUUCAACGGGGAGAAGUGUCAGGAUCACAUUGUGGCAGGCUCCUUUGGAUAGAGUGGAAGUAGAUGAUCGUCUGUCUUCCUCAGGUGACUUCAGGGCAGGGAGGUGUGGGGGAGGCUGGAAUUGGUAUAAGGAUGCGGUGCAAGGAAUACAGGAUUAUUCAGCCAGGUGCCCCUGUGCCAGGCCACUGUUGAAGACUCAGCAGGAGUUCCAUCUUCUGACAGGGCUCCUGCAACUAUGAUAAUAGUAAUGAUAAUAAAUGAUUACAGUAAAACCCAGUAAUAGUUAUUGAGAGCUUGUCACAUCCCCAGGCACUGUGCAAAGAGCUGUACAUCAUUACUCCUUUAGUUUCUUUGAUAAAUUUUAGUUUUUUGAAAUUUGUAGAUAUUAGAGUCGGGAUUCAAAAAGCACAAAUAGCGGCCAGUGUUGUAGUGUGGAGGGUUAAGCUGCUGCCUGUGAUGUUAUCAUCCCACAUGAGCCUGGUUCAAGUUCUGGCUGCUCCACUUCUGGUCCAGCUCCCUGCUAAUGCACCUGGGAAGCCGGUGGAAGAUGAUGUAAGUGUUUGGGCCCCUGCCACCCCAAAUGGGAGACUCAGAUGGAGUUUCAGGCUCCUGGCCCAGCCCCAGCUGUUGUGACCAUUUGAGGAGUAAACCAGUGAAUGAAAGAUUUCUCUCUCUCUGACUCUGUAAUUCUGCAUUUCAAAUAAUUUUUUUGACAGGCAGAGUUAGACAGUGAGAGAGAGACAGAGAGAAAGGUCUUCCUUCCAUUGGUUCACCCCACAAUGGCCGCUUCGGCUGGCGCGCUGCGCUGAUCCGAAGCCAGGAGCCAGGUGCCCCAUCCUGGUCUCCCAUGCGGGUGCAGGGCCCAAGGACUUGGGCUAUCCUCCACUGCCUUCCCGGGCCACAGCAGAGAGCUGGACUGUAAGAGGAGCAACCGGGACAGUACCGGUGCCCCGACAGGGACUAGAACCCGGGGUGCCGGCGCCACAGGUGGAGGAUUAGCCUAGUGAGCCAUGGCGCUGGCCUCAAAUAAUAUUUUUUAAAUAAAGCAGAAAUGGAUAUCCUUGGCCCCUGGACAACUAUGUAAUUAUUUAUUUUGUAUAUUCUUGCAGGAAUAUUUUAUGCAUAGAUGAUCAGACUUCAAAAAUUCAUGGAAAAUAGAAUAAAAAAUUUAUCUUCCUUAAAUUUUGAAGUUCAUGGAUAGAUUUUUCUUUCCUUUUCUUUUUUAAAGAUUUAUUUAUUUGUUUGAAAGGCGAGUUACAGAGAAGCAGAGGCAGAGAGAGAGAGAAAGGUCUUCCAUCUGCUGGUUCACUCCCCAGAUGGCCACAAUGGCCGGAAUUGUGCUGGGAGCCAGGAGCUUCUUCCAGGUCUCCCACGUGGGUGCAGGGGCCCAAGGACUUGGGCCAUCUUCUGCUGCUUUUCCCAGGCCAUAGCAGAGAGCUGGAUGGGAAGUGGAGCAGCCAGGACUCGAACCAGCACCCAUAUGGGUGUCAGCAGUGCAGACGGUGGCUUUACCUGCUACACGACAGUGCUGGCCCCUAGAUUUUUCAUAACAUGGAUUUUCACGAACUUUUUGAAGAGCCCUCGUAUAUAUGUAUUUCAAAAGUUUUCUGUACCCAAAAAAGCUCAUCUCUUAAUUCCAUUUUCCACAAACCUUUCAAAGCAUCCUUGUAUACGCAAAUAUCUGUAUGUAUCUGUACCUCCAUAGUUUUAAAAUUUUUAAAAAGAUUCCUUAUUUAUUUGAAAGGCAGAGUGAGUGAGAGAGAGAAAGAGAGGGAGAGAGGUCUUCCAUCUGCUGGUUCACUCCCAAAAUGUCCACAAGGGCUGCUGCUGGGCUGAGCGGAAGUCAGGAGCCAGGAGCUCUAUCUGGGUCUCCUGUGUGGGUGCAGGGGCCUGAGCACUUAGGCCAUCUUCUAUUGCUUUCUCAGGGGCAUUAGCAGGGAGCUGGAUGGGAAACAGAGCAGCUGGGACUUGAACCAGUGCUCAUGUGAGAUGCUGGUAUUUCAGGCGAUGGUUUAAUCCUCUGCAGAAUGCUAGCCUCUCUGUUGUUUCUUUUUCUUUUUCUUUUUUAAAGAUUUAUUUAUUUAUUUGAAAGAGUUACACAGAAAGAAGGAGAGGCAGAGAGAGAGAGAGAGAAGUCUUCCAUUUGCUGGUUCACUACCCAGUUGGCCACAAUGGCUGGAGCUGUGCCGAUCUGAAGCCAGGAGCCAGGAGCUUCUUCUGGGUCUCCCAGAUGGGUGCAGGGGCCCAAGGACUCAGCCAUCUUCCACUGCUUUCCCAGGCCAUAGCAGAGAGCUGGAUCGGAAGUGGAGCAACGGGGACUUGAACCAGCGCCCAUAUGGGAUGCCGACACUGCAGGCAGUGGCUUUACCCUCUACGCCACAUCGCCGGCCCCUGUUUAUUUUUCAAACCCAGAUGAGUGCAUUCUGCACCGCUUCACACCGAGUAUUCACACUGCACUUGUGAUUCUACUCAGGUCAGGACAUAUAAAAGCAUGUUUGUGUUUGUUUAUUUGGGAAGGUCAGUGUCAUAGCCCAUUGUUUGGAUUAACAUUAUUUAUUCAGUUUUCCAUUAAUAACCAGUGAAAUGGGGGCCAGUGCUGCGGCGCAGUAGGUUAAGCCUCCACCUGCGGUGCCAGCAUCCCAUAUGGGCGCUGGUUCGUGUCCUGGCUGCUCCUCUUCUGGUCCAGCUCUCUGCUAUGGCCUGCGAAAGCAGUAGAAGAUGGCCCAAGUGCUUGGGCCCUUGAACCCCUGUGGGAGACCUGGAAGAAGCUCCUGACUCCUGGCUUCGGAUUGGCCCAGCUCUGGCUGUUGUAGCCGUUUGGGUGUGAAGCAGGGGCUGGAAGAUCUGUCUCUCCUCAUUCUUUACCUCUGCCUUUCCAAUAAAUAAAUAAACCUUUUUAAAGAAAAUGGCCAAGGAAAUAAUUUCCACUUGAUUGCAAAUACAAAUAAAGCUGCGAUGAAAAAUGUUGCAUGUAAGUUCUUUUAGCUUUUUGUGACCUUAACUAAAAUACCCAAGAGGAGCUUUUUGGGAAGGAAAGGUUUGUUUCGGCUGACAGCUUGGAGGUCAGGGUUCAGAACUGGGUCGCCCAGUUAGUCUGUCAUGUGCUGGAGACUGGCCGUGGCAGAGAGGCGAUCAUGUGGGGAGCCAGGAAGCAGAGACACAGGCAGCACACUUGGCUUCUGUAAUUCACCUGUCGGAUAACCACAUUCGUUCAGAGGGCUAGCCCUCAGGGACCUAAAGAUGGCCCACCAGAUCACCUCUCAGAAGUCAUAUUAGCUCAUCAAGUCUCCAUCGUUAACCCAACAACCAUCAGCACAAGACUUUGGGUUUUACAUAUCCCCAUGAGUUGGGGGAGCCAAAUCGUGUUCCAUCUGCAGCAGGUCUUUUCCCAGAGCAGGUGCAUUCUUCAGGGUAAAGCAUUGGGAAUGGAAUUCCCUGGACACGGGGUAUGUGUCUCCCUCGUAUGGGCAGAGAUGGCCAAAGUGUCCUGCUUGCUGGUCAUAUCCAUCUCCACGGCCUACAGCCUCUUCUCCAUUCCCCAAGCACAAUCGGUUAUCCAGCUUCGGCACUGUUGUCAAUAAGCCAGUUAAAAACGGCUGCCUGGUAUAAUUACAAUCGACAUUUCUCUUAUUGUAAGUGGAACUCCUUUUGUGUGUGUGUUUGGUCAUUUGCAUUUGGCAUUUAUAUUUUCUUUCUGUUGUGGAUUGCCUCAGCUUCAGUUUCUAGAAGUUCUUAUUUAUGAGAGAGGCCAGCCUGUGUUCGUGAUAUAAGUUGCUAUCACUCACAGUUUGUCAGUUUGUCUUUAAGCUUUACAUCUGUGGUUUGUCCAUGCCAAUUGAAAGAAAAUUCAUAGAAAUCAGUGUUCAUGUUUUAUGCUGCACAUCAAGGGGGUGUCUCCCACUGUGAUCUCACAGAAACCUACUCUCACAUUUUUUUUCCCACUACUGCUAUGCCUUUAGUUUCGUGUUUCUGUCUUGGAGCCAUUGGAGUUUAGUCUGGUAUGAGGUUUAUAGGCAUAGGACUUCUUUGUGUAAUUCUGAUAGUUACCCUGCUAUCCCACUACCAUUUAUUGAAAGCCUGGCUUUCCCCUGUCUCACCUUUAUUUCAUGUAGUACUCAUGGCAGUUCUUUGAAGUCAGCAUUGGCCUUCCAGAUCAUGCAGAUGAGGAAGCCAAGGCUUAAGGAGUAACUUAAGUCACACAUCCAGAAAUGGGGCUGCCCUGGUUGGAGUUCAGGUCGCUCUCCUGCCUUCUAGUACAGCUCCGGUCCCUUGUGUCCUUGCCGCCCAGCUCUUGUGUGUUGGUGGUGUUGGCCUUGCAGCUCCGACCUACCAGCAUCUCUCCUGGCAGCUUUUGGGCUUUGAUAAUUGAAGGGUUAUUGAUUGGAUCCACACACUGGAGCCAUGCGCUGGAACACUCCUGGUGGGCGUUGCUGUCCAGCCAGCCCACCACCUAGGCCUCGUCCAGCUGGCUGUUUAUUAGAUCUGCUGCCCAUCCCACAGGCCAGAGUCAGGGAACAGGGGCCACCUUGUGUCAGCCACCUGCACAAGGGGCGUGCCCUCUACUCUUGGCUUCCCAGAAGGGGCAGUACUUUGCUCAGCUGUCUGCGGGUAUGACUGAAGCCUUGGCGUCUUCUCUCUGUCACUCAGCUCUCUUUGGGUUGGGAGUGAUAGAGACCCAGUGCCAACUAAAAUAGGCCAAGGAGCCACUCAUGUUCUCUCCUAAUUGAUCCCCAGUGAGGGCCAUGGUCUCACUGGCCUGGGGAUCCCAGGAUUCAAGAACUGCCCCAUGUCUGUCUGUCUUCUCCCCACUUCUGCCUCCCUCUCCUACUGCAGCCUCAUCCAUCCAGAAGCAGCAGCAAGAGCUAACAGUUUGACAAGGCACAGCAAACAAGGGACAGAUUCUGGUAGGCCAGUCUUGGGUCACAGGCCCAACAAUACUGCAGCCAAGGGAAGGGAGGUGUGGGACUUAGGAGUGUCCAGGUGGCCACCACCGGGGUGAGGCUGACAUGGAAAGUUCCCUCAAAACCACGUGGUGGGAAUGGCAGUGACUUUCAGCCAAGGAGAAGGAAAAGGUUUCUGGCCUGAAAAAAGUACAAAUCAGCUCUGCCUUUGUUUUGGAGUCAAAUCAAAGUACUUUUCAUAGUAUGUAAUUUAGCACCAAACAUUGCCUAUGAUUGCCUUUUUAUCUCUGCCUACAAGUUCCUGUGAACUGUAUUUAUUUUUAUGUAUUUGAGAAACAGAGAGAAAGAAAGUCUGAGAGAGAGAGAGAGAGACAGACAGACAGACACACACACAAAGAGAGAUCUCCCAUCCUCUGGUUCCCUCCUCAAAUGCCUGCAACAGCUAGGGCUGGGCCAGGCAGAAGCCAGGAGCCAGGAACUCCAUCCUGGUCUCCCAUGUGGGUGUCAGGGGCCCAGGUAUUUGGACCACCUUCUGCUGCCUUCCUAGGUGCACUGCCAGGGAGCUGGAUCACAAGCGGAGCAGCUGAGGCUGGAACUGUCACUCUGAUACGGGACGCCAGCAUCACAAGUGGCAGCUUAACAGGCUGUGCCACAGUGCCAGCCCGGGGAACCAAGUGCCUGAGCCAUCACUGCUGCCUCCCAGGGUCUGCAUGAGCAGGAAGCUGGCAUUGGGUGCUGGAGCCGAGACUCAAAACUUAGUCCUCUGAUGUGGGAUGGGGCAUCUUAACCUGUUUCUGAAACACCAACCCUUAUUUAUAAUACUUUGUUUUCUUUUACUAAAAUAUUAAUAUGUAUAGAUUUACAUCAACUUGCAAAAAUAGUUAUGUGGCAUUUCAUAAUACACUUACUCCUUCCACUCACGGGUAAUUUGGUUAUUAUGAAUGUUUUUUUUAUUAUGAGCGAUAUGCUAAUGAUGCUCCUUCUCCAUGUAUUUUAUGAAUACCUAAGAGUAGAACUGCCAGGUCACAAAGUGAGCUCUGCCUUAGACGGGAAAGUAGCAGAACUGGAUAGCAGUAGCCCGGUGAUUACGCUCCUCUCCUACCUCCUGGGACACACGUACAGGCGUUUGGAGAAAGUCUGCUCUGAGUGCUGUCAGGCUGGCCUCGUAGGUGCUCCCUGUCAGCAGGAGUUUGCACCAGGCCGCUGCUGUGAUCGGUGGAUUUCUUUGCUCUCAUGCAUCAGUUUGUAGCCUAAAGCCCUAUUCUCCUGCUGUGGCAGGCACAGCCCCAGAGACCAGAUCAGCCCCUGCUCAGCAGAUGAGUUUUCCUCCUCUGUUUACAAUUUAGCUGCAAAUUCCUUUCGUUCCUAUUUCUGGGGUGAAAUCUUGCUUGUGAGAUAGCCUGAUCCCGCUCCAAGCCCACACUGGGUGCUGAACAGAGCCGGUGACAGGCCUACCAUGGCCCAGGAGGUGGGGGGCAGGUGGAUUUUAUAUUGAGCGGGAUAGGCAGGGGGAUUUUCUUCCUGCCAGCCACCCAUGAACCAAAUAAAAGAGCAGCAAGAGAUAAAUCAGGUGGCCUUUCACUCUCAGGGAAAAGGUUUUGGUGUUCCUAUUCUAAAGGUCUUUCUAUAUUAAACAGAGGGAUUGAUGUAUGGCGUUUUAUUUAAACUGGUAUUAACUCAUUAUGUCUCCAAACUCAGCUUUUAAAUCACCUGCACAUGACGGAUUGUAAAAACCAGGCGGUUAUGAUGUCUGGGGGAAAGACAGCCUCCCAGGAUGUUUGUAGACCUCUAACUCCUGGCUUAUUUGUCUUUGGGUUUAUGGAGCCUGCAGAGCAGCUCUAUAGGGAGGGAGAGGACGGCUGCGGGCCUGUGGGCGUGCACCCACAUGCACACCCACACUCGUGCAACCAGCGUGUCAUCAGAGCAGUUGAGCCUGGGUCCAGGUGCACAGCUUCUUAAGAGUUUCCCCUGCAGAUUUUUUUUUUAUUAUUUUGUAAAGUGCCCACACUCACAAAUUGUACUCCCUGCAAUUCAUCCUGAGUUUAUUGCAAUUACUGACAGGCUCUGGUUUAUGACAGGCAUCCAUCAUCUUGUGGACCACAGCGCGUGCAGCUGUGGCGUGAUGCAGAGGCCAGGGCACAGCAGGCCCUCCAGGUACGGGAUGGGAUGGCCUGGGGGCCAAGAGGAGGUGCUGGCAAAAUUUUUUUUUUAAUGUGUGUCACAGGAUGUGAUGGAAGAGAAACAGAUUAAGGGAAUCGAGGGAGAUUCUUCAAAACAUAUCCAGGGACCAGCAUUGUGGCACAGCAGGUUAGGCCGCCACGUGCGACUCCAGCAUCUCUUGUUGAAGACCAGUUCAAGCUCUGACUGUUCCACUUCUGAUCAAGCUCCCUGUGAAUGUGCCUGGAAAAACUGCAGACCUCCAUCCAGAAACUGAGCUUCACGCAGCAGGGCUCGCUUCUGCUGGUUCACCAGCAUGUGGCUAGUACUUCACUAAACGCUGAGCCAAUCGUGCAAAGUUGAUGAAUCACUGUUGGAUCCCUGAAGGCACCGGGGUUGCAGAGAGGAGGCAAGUGGAGCCUGAUGAGCUUGGAUAACCUGCCCCAGAUCUCAGGGGACCCAGCAGUGCUUUGACAAUCUAUCUACUCCAGCUUGUUAUGGGGGUAGAAGCCUCUGAAGUGCUGGCCAUGCUUCUCAACUGUCCAUCUUCCAGGACCUGUUGAAGAGAACCCAUCGACCUCUGCACCAGGAUCCACCGUGGUCACCCAGCUAAGAGCCCUGCUGGGCAUUUCAGAGUGUCCCUGAGUGAGCUACCUUGGUUUACAUAGCCAAGGCCAUGGGAAAGACAUCAACUGCAGAGUUGGCAGGAAGAUCAAAACGGCCUCUAUCUGUGUACUUUGAUGAGUUCACAUGAGUUGCAUUUCCCGUCUAUGAACUCCACUGAAACAGAAAAACAGAGAAAGCGCGCCUUUACAGAGCGUAAGUGAUUCCAUUUACCAUUCCACUCAACGAACAUGGGCUGCGAAAUGUGAAUCUGCCGCUCCCUCGGGGCUGAACACAAAACCAUGUAAACGGCUCCAUUUUAUAGCCGAUUCGCACGCUUCUCAAGGGUAAUUCUGUCUGAUGCGAUGACACUGGAACUUAACCCCAUGUGAAGACAGAGCUCCAUGGAGUG
Non-coding RNA from Oryctolagus cuniculus (rabbit), 8283 nucleotides. Lineage: Eukaryota; Metazoa; Chordata; Mammalia; Lagomorpha; Leporidae. The record is from RefSeq and is a predicted model, not a curated record.